This is an RNA transcript of Microplitis demolitor, 2350 nucleotides long. It is a transcript of the gene named paired box protein Pax-1, with no coding region annotated. NCBI's taxonomy places the organism in Eukaryota, Metazoa, Arthropoda, Insecta, Hymenoptera, Braconidae. The record is from RefSeq and is a predicted model, not a curated record. The transcript has 3 exons.
UCAGUGAGCAUAGAGCUAGACGUCUCUCAGUGAUUCGUGUUUCUUCAUGCAUCAAAUAUAUAUAGUUCAUUUCAGUAACUAUUUUUACCGUAAAUAAACUCAUAGUUUUUUAAUUUUUUUGUGUAAUUUGUGAGUGACAAAUAAAAAUAGAUAUUUAGGAAAACGAGGAUUAUAUUGGUGACAUUUUUUUAAGUUUUUCAUUAUUGGUUCUUAUAAAUUAAUGGAUCCAAUUAUAUUAGAAAACAACAAUGGUAUCGGACAGCAGCAGCAACAACAACAGCAAUAUGGUGAAGUAAAUCAGCUUGGCGGUGUAUUCGUUAACGGUAGACCUUUACCGAAUGCUGUGAGACUUAGGAUUGUUGAAUUGGCACAGCUCGGAAUUCGACCCUGUGACAUUUCUCGUCAAUUACGCGUUAGUCACGGAUGCGUUAGUAAAAUUCUAGCUCGUUACCAUGAAACAGGAAGUAUUUUACCCGGUGCGAUCGGUGGCAGUAAGCCCCGUGUAACGACACCGAAAGUUGUUCAAUACAUAAAACAAUUAAAGUUAAAAGAUCCUGGAAUAUUUGCUUGGGAAAUAAGAGAUCGGCUACUUUCCGAUGGUGUUUGUGAUAAAUACAACGUACCGUCGGUUUCAAGUAUCUCAAGAAUAUUAAGGAAUAAAGUAGGAGCUAAUUCAAGUGCUCUUCACCAUCAUCCUCAUCAUCCGGCUCAUCAUCACCAUCAUCAUCACAUAUAUGCCGCGGCUGCCGCAGCUGGGGCAGCUUUAUGUCCAGUAACGUAUCCACCGUCGCCUUACCAUCAACCACCUUCAGCAGUCACUCAUCAUCAUCACCAUCAUCAUCAUCAAAGUGAACGAUUAGGUAAGUUUGAGUAAACUAUACCAUAAAAGUUGUACUGUGGAGUCUCUUCAAUAUGACUUGCGCAAAGUUAGAUUAUAUGAAAGCAAAAAAUAAUAACGGGGACAUCCACUUCAGGACUAAAUAAAUCAAGAGAUAAAAUUUAUUUUUAUUUUAAAUCACGUAUUUAUCCGCGUUUUCACCAGCAUGCUAAUUAAUGCGUGGAAAUUCCUACCAAUGGUGGAUCUGCUUUGCGAAAUUUUAGGAAAUCGAGUGUUUGAUUAAAUCGGAAUUGGAUUCGUGGUGACUGGGCUUAGAGCCGCUGGUUUAGGAGACCAAGUAAUCCAAUCACAAAAUAUGUCUUGAUAAAUUUUUAAAAAAUACUCAAGUCGGUUCAAGUUUUCUGAGCCCGUCUACGGAAUGUCUUCAAAAUGACCUGGCGAGGAUGACCGAAGAAAUCUUUAAGUGAUAUUCAAACUGUCCGUGAGAAAAAUUUGAAAAAACUAAACAUCAUCAUCCUACUUAUGUAUUAAUGGACUCCAAUAACUGGCUAACGCUACUUUUAAAAACUGCGACUCUGCAAAAUGAUGUAUAUUGUCUGAGAUAUUUUCUCUCAGGAUAAUUAAACGUGACACCCACGUGGCGAGCAGACCAGCUGGUGUAUUGAUCAGUUCCGGAUGGAAUAAACUGACGCCAAGCGAUGAGAGAUUUGAUGAGUUUGCUGAUCGAAUAAAGUACCGUGUUUUAUUGAACUCAAGCUGAUUUAUGUCAAGUUGAUCUUGUUGGUGUUGGCCCGAUGAUUGAGCAGGAGCUACUUGAGCAACCGCUGAGCUUAAAUCAUCAGGUAUUUUAACGUGAGUUUAACCAGGCCGUUAAAAUUACGCUAGUCAACCAACUUAAAAUUAAAUUCACCGUAAGAGUAUUUGAGUGAGAGCUAAUAAAACAAAAUAUUUUUUAUAAAAAUUUAAUUAACUGCUAAGUUAAUGUACAUCAGUUGAGACUCAUUGCUGGAUCUAAUGCGAUGGUUUUCUCUGUAGCAAUCAUAGAGGUUACCAGUUUCAUCUGGAUCCCACAAACCCUUAGAAGAUAGAGCUAGACCUUUUAGUUUAAAUGUUGGAUUCCGUCCAAGACGAAAACGCCAGAACAUGCCGACGAUCAAACAAGUCUAUACUAAGCGACAAAACGCCAUUCGUCAGUUGCUUUUUUUUAAAACAUGAUCACAGUGUAAUUUUGAAAAGUGUUAAAUUAUAGAGACUAGAUCUCAGUGAAGCUCUUGACAGACUGAAAAAAUUAUCAACUCUCAUUACUGUAUAUUUAAUUUUUAAAAAAUAUGAUAUUAAAUUGGAUUUACAAGUGAAAAAUUUAAGGAUUUAAUGAGCGUCCAUCAAGUUGGAAGUUCCAGAUAAUCCAUAUAUUUACAUUCGCCAGCAAAGGUAAAAACUUGACGUUCUCCAUCAAUAAAAUUUUGAAGCAGGAUCUGGUUACUUUUCAUGAUUCCAAUCAGCAAAACAGUU